GUAAAAGUUCUCUAUAGAUCAAAGAUUUCUUCAAGUAGGAAGAAGAUUAGUCAUCACUCUCCACUUCUUGAAAAGCUCAUUAGAUUUUAAAAAGAGUAAUGAAAACUAAACUGAAGUGUUUAUAGAAAACUGUAGAGAAUAAUGGUGGGUAGAUGUAGAAAGCAGGUAGGAGAAAACUCUCCUCUUUUUUCUUUUCAAAUUAGGUUUUUAUAGAGAUAUAUAUAGAGAAGAGUCCUCCUCUAGAUAAGUCUCUCUAGAGAUGUAUACUUAGUAUAAGGGUUCAAACAAUAAAAAGGAUUGUUGAGAAGAUAAAGUUUGUGGAAAGUUGGAUAUUUGACAUCUCUCUUAGGGCUCUUGAGAAGCUUAAAAAAAAUAAGAAGGCAUCUUAUAAAUGGUUCAUGGAGUGGACUGGAGAGGCUAGAUUUGAAGUUACAAGUAUAGCAAAUGCAACAAAUAGGCAUAUUGUUAGUUUGGACAAUAGGUCUUGCACCUGCAUGGCAUUUGACCUAACUGGGAUACUUUGCCCACGUGCCAUAUGUGCUGUCUAUCACAUUAAGCAAGACCUAGAGGACUAUGUAGCUCAUUGGUAUAGAAAGGAGACGUAUUUGAAGGUUAUGAGUUCUCCAUGCAAAAAGGGAAGAUGCUUUGGAAAGAGAGUGGGUUGCCACCACUUGAGCCACUUGCUGUGAGGAAGAUGCCAAGAAGAUAAAAAAAGGCUAGAAGAAAAGAUAAAGAAGAACCAAAGAAAGUGGGCAAGCUGUCAAGAAAGGGACGUGUGAUGACAUAUGGCUUGUGUAAUAGAAAGGGACACAAUCGAAUUGGCUGUCCAAAUAGGCAAACAGCCUCAGAGGGUCUUUCGUCUAUGAAAAAUAAGGAAAGAGCAACCAGCAGUUAAAGAGAGCAAGGUUCUCAAAUGUUUUAGCAAGUGAAAGGAAGCUUGCUGCAGAAGGACUGAAAAAUGCAUACGAUGCUAGUAAGAAGAAAGAUGCUAAAAGUACAAAGAAGGAAGAAGCUGCAAAUAAGAAAACUUUCUAUACAUCAGUUGAUAAUGUUGCAAAUAUGAAUACAAAAAGGGGGACUAGAGGAACUUCCACUUCUAAUUCUUGUGUUGAUGAUUUUAAAAGCUAUGUAAGAGCUAGUCGCGAAAAUCUUCAAAAGUAACAACAAUUAAGUAGGCAAGCUUUAGAGGAAAGACAUAAAGAGUUUAACGGAUUUGUAAGUGUUAGAAAGGAAGACAACAAUCUCUAAAAAUCCAAAAGGCUAAAGUGACUCGUUAUGGGUAUUAUGUCAGCAUUGAUAAGGGAUUUGCUAUUUUAAAUGUAUGAUUUUCCAUUUUUUGCCA
This is a long non-coding RNA of Ricinus communis (castor bean), 1342 nucleotides long. RefSeq lists it as uncharacterized. The transcript has 2 exons. The record is from RefSeq and is a predicted model, not a curated record. Lineage: Eukaryota; Viridiplantae; Streptophyta; Magnoliopsida; Malpighiales; Euphorbiaceae.